GAUGGGGUUCCCGGUGUAGCAAGAAGAAGAUUCGUCUUUCUCUAAGCUUUGGAGCAAUUGCCUUCUCGUUACGGAAGCAUUCACUUUCCUGCAACAGUUCAGGGCUCGGAUGCUGGCCGGGGAGAGUGAGGUUGAGAGCGGCAGCGGCGGCACUGGCACCUAGCGGCGAGCAGGAGGGUAGCAGCAAAGCUAGCAGCACAAUGCAGGUUGUGGUCAACAUUUUGGAGCAAAAAUGACCGUUUUUGUUUCAAAACAGAGUAGUAGCUAGUAAUCCGGGGGGAGUGGUGGUGAGGUGGCAGAAGAUGAUUGGGCCGUAUAAAUAAUUGUAAGUAUAUGGGUUUGGAACUGGAUAAUGCUGCAACGUAAAGAAGUUAAUGUGGAGAGAAAAGUGGUUCCUUUUUGACUAUGGGACUGACUCUUUGAAGAUUCCCCUCCUUCCUCUUCUCUCCUCUCCUCUGUUUCUUUUUCCCUUUCUUUCUCUUUUUUGUUUUUCUUUUUAAUCUCAAUUUCUGAGGUGGUAAAAGGAUAUUCUCCACUCUUUACUUUAAUAUUUACUCAUGUUUUCUCCUUUUGUGUAUAUA
Molecule: non-coding RNA, 581 nt
Organism: Cucurbita pepo subsp. pepo (vegetable marrow)
Lineage: Eukaryota; Viridiplantae; Streptophyta; Magnoliopsida; Cucurbitales; Cucurbitaceae
Source: RefSeq, a predicted model, not a curated record